Molecule: ribosomal RNA, 239 nt
Filed under: uncultured bacterium
Lineage: Bacteria
Description: partial 16S ribosomal RNA
Rfam family: Bacterial small subunit ribosomal RNA
Source: RNAcentral
CGGCGGACGGGUGAGUAACGCGUGGGUAACCUGCCUCAUACAGGGGGGUAACAGUUAGAAAUAGACUGCUAAUACCGCAUAAGACCACGGUACCGCAUGGUACAGUGGUAAAAACUCCGGUGGUAUGAGAUGGACCCGCGUCUGAUUAGGUAGUUGGUGGGGUAACGGCCUACCAAGCCGACGAUCAGUAGCCGACCUGAGAGGGUGACCGGCCACAUUGGGACUGAGACACGGCCCAG